Molecule: ribosomal RNA, 465 nt
Filed under: uncultured bacterium
Lineage: Bacteria
Description: partial 16S ribosomal RNA
Rfam family: Bacterial small subunit ribosomal RNA
Source: RNAcentral
GACGAACGCUGGCGGCGUGCUUAACACAUGCAAGUCGAACGGAAAGGCCCUGCUUGCAGGGUACUCGAGUGGCGAACGGGUGAGUAACACGUGGGUGAUCUGCCCUGCACUUCGGGAUAAGCCUGGGAAACUGGGUCUAAUACCGGAUAGGAGCCAUUUUUAGUGUGAUGGUUGGAAAGUUUUUUCGGUGUAGGAUGAGCUCGCGGCCUAUCAGCUUGUUGGUGGGGUAAUGGCCUACCAAGGCGGCGACGGGUAGCCGGCCUGAGAGGGUGGACGGCCACAUUGGGACUGAGAUACGGCCCAGACUCCUACGGGAGGCAGCAGUGGGGAAUAUUGCACAAUGGGCGCAAGCCUCAUGCAGCGACGCCGCGUGGGGGAUGACGGCCUUCGGGUUGUAAACUCCUUUCGCUAGGGACGAAGCUUUUUGUGACGGUACCUAGAUAAGAAGCACCGGCUAACUACGUG